AACGCUGGCGGCAUGCCUUACACAUGCAAGUCGAACGGCAGCACGGGUGCUUGCACCUGGUGGCGAGUGGCGAACGGGUGAGUAAUACAUCGGAACGUACCUUAUCGUGGGGGAUAACGCAGCGAAAGCUGCGCUAAUACCGCAUACGCCCUGAGGGGGAAAGCGGGGGACCGUAAGGCCUCGCGCGAUUAGAGCGGCCGAUAUCUGAUUAGCUUGUUGGUGGGGUAAAAGCCCACCAAGGCGACGAUCAGUAGCUGGUCUGAGAGGACGAUCAGCCACACUGGGACUGAGACACGGUCCAGACUCCUACGGGAGGCAGCAGUGGGGAAUAUUGCACAAUGGGGGAAACCCUGAUGCAGCCAUGCCGCGUGUGUGAAGAAGGCCUUCGGGUUGUAAAGCACUUUCAGUGGGGAGGAAGAGGUGAUGCCUAAUAUGCAUCAUCAUUGGCGUUACCCACAGAAGAAGCACCGGCUAACUCCGUG
RNAcentral lists this ribosomal RNA (482 nucleotides) under uncultured bacterium. Its description in RNAcentral is "bacterial SSU rRNA". It matches the Rfam family "Bacterial small subunit ribosomal RNA", at positions 32 to 507 of the family's 1533-position model. The record is from RNAcentral.